RNAcentral lists this ribosomal RNA (497 nucleotides) under uncultured bacterium. Its description in RNAcentral is "partial 16S ribosomal RNA". It matches the Rfam family "Bacterial small subunit ribosomal RNA", at positions 28 to 507 of the family's 1533-position model. The record is from RNAcentral.
GAUGAACGCUGGCGGCGUGCCUAAUACAUGCAAGUCGAGCGAACAGAUGAGGAGCUUGCUCCUCUGACGUUAGCGGCGGACGGGUGAGUAACACGUGGAUAACCUACCUAUAAGACUGGGAUAACUUCGGGAAACCGGAGCUAAUACCGGAUAAUAUAUUGAACCGCAUGGUUCAAUAGUGAAAGACGGUUUUGCUGUCACUUAUAGAUGGAUCCGCGCCGCAUUAGCUAGUUGGUAAGGUAACGGCUUACCAAGGCAACGAUGCGUAGCCGACCUGAGAGGGUGAUCGGCCACCCUGGAACUGAGACACGGUCCAGACUCCUACGGGAGGCACCAGUAGGGAAUCUUCCGCAAAGGGCGAAAGCCUGACGGAGCAACGCCGCGUGAGUUAUGAAGGUCUUCGGAUCGUAAAACUCUGUUAUUAGGGAAGAACCAAUGUGUAAGUAACUAUGCACGUCUUGACGGUACCUAAUCAGAAAGCCCCGGCUAACUACGUG